CAGGCGUAAAGCACUCGCUUCUGAAACUCCCUGCACGGACACCCAGCUGCUCGUGUCUGUCACCAGUGACAUGCUGGAGCCCAAAGCAGCCUCCCUGCCACACUUCCCUCCAGGGAGUACCAUGUGCUCUUCUCCGAGGUGCUGGCUUGGGGACACGUGCUCGACCCCUGACCUGUGUCCCCAGGUUGUGGAGUUCCUGAGCUGAGGUCUCACUGUGCAGCCCAGACUGGCCUUGAGCACUCCCCAGCCUCCUCCCGCACCUCCACGGGGCUGGGAUUGCAUGCGGUGCCACAAGGCCCAGCGAACAGCUCCUGUUUGUAGACGCAGACACCGCGGGCGGGGCGUGCGUGUGACCGGGCAUCACCGCUGGCACCGACAGCACAGCGGCAGCGGCAGAAUGCCUGUGUGCGCCGAGGGGGCUGUGGGCAUCACGUGCACCUCGGCUCGGGCUCAGCGAGCCCACAGUGCAGCCGCUGCCCUGGGAAGACAGGGAGAAAACUGGGUCUAACAAAGUCAGGGCAGGCACGUGUGUGUCAGAGAGAAUUCGAGGACAGGGCGGCGCACCCCAGUUCCAAUGUUCUGUAGUUAGAACAGUCGAAAGCCUUCUCCACGAUCUUUGAACUUUUUAUAGAAUUUCUUUUUAAAGACUUAGACAGUGUGAAGCUAAGCCCGCAGAGCCACUGAUGGGCGCAGCCGUCUUGCGGGGCGCACGCUGGGUGACCUGCCAGAGCGCGUGUGCGGUGGGGAACGCGCGAACGCCUGCGGUCCUGCGGUCCCCCCGUCCCCCGUCCUCGGGGCUCUGGACUCGGAAGAGACGCCGCUCCAAGAACUAGGCUUUGUGUGCGCGACUAGGGCAGUAAACGGGAGUGGAAACUCCAACUGGAAUGCAAAACAUUUCUGCUUCCAAGAUGGGGCGCGGCAGCUCUAGCGGCCAUUCGGGGUCCCGGCAGCUCUGAAGACCCCGCUGGCCGGGCGAGGCGCCUGUCGCAGGGGAAGCCCUGAGUGCCCACGGCAGCGGGUCGUCCAGCAUGGGGCAGGCACCUGUAAUCCCAGCAUUCCAGCGGUGGAGGACCGGAAGUUCAAGGUCACCCUCAACCACAGGAUUAGUUCAAGGCCAGCCCAGAACACAGGAGAUUCUAGCUCAAAAACAAAACAAAAUUUCAGCCACCUUUAUUAUGAACUACAGAAAUCCCAACCUCGGGAAGUCCGGAAGGAAAUGCAACAAGUUUAAGUCUGACAUGUGCCAGCUGUGUGCUAAGCCAAGGAGCCUUGUCGUCCAUUCGAGCGGUAAUCAAGAGAUGGUCAGGAUGGAUCAGGACUAACAUCCAACAGCCCAGUUCCACAAGGAGCCAAACUGUUUGGGGAAGCAGACUGCUCCUGGCCCUGAGAGCUUCGAGAGUGUGGGCUUGCUGACCUGUGGUUCGAGCAGGAUCAAAGAUGGCCCGUCCAGGCUUACAAUCCGACUAAAACCUAGAGGCCUCGGGGUUGGUGGUGACAAUACAAAUCAGCAUCUCGACUUCGUCAGCUUUUCCUUUUCCUUUAAGUGUGCAGGGCGGUGGGGACUUGGAGGUUUCCCCACAGAGGGAGCUUUAGUACGAGCCCCUUGAGAAUGGAGGCGAUACCCCAUCGUCAUGGCAGGCGUUGCUGAAGCCCCGGUGGAGCUCAGGCAGCGGGCUGGCCCUCUCCCCUUCCUCUCGGUGACCCCUUCUUUCUCUCCCUCAGCACUCAUGACUAGUGCGCGGUCACAAUGCCCGGUGGAAGAGGUAUGUUCACGCCAGCGAGACUUAAGGCUCGGGAAAGUGCUGUCUGCUGAUCCCAGCUGUAGGGUGCCGGUGGGGUGGCACACGCGUGAUUCUGACCAUACGCCCUUCUCACCAAUCAGACGCCUCCCUGUGCUAGUAGACACUUCCUCAGUGCGGCUCGCUCGGCCUUGAUGCAUCCGGUGGGGCCGGAUGACGCCAUGAGCAUGCCCCAAGUCAGGCUGCAUCUGGGGGUUUGGAUUUCCGAUGCUGGGGCUUCAGUCUGUGCAGCCCGGCACAGGUUCUGCUGUCUGGGCUCUGAGUGUCAGAUUCUGUUCCCACCUUCACUGGUGGCGCUCAGCUCUGGCAGCCACGCUCAGGGAGGAGCUGGGAAAUGAGAAAGAGAUGCCUGCUUCCGAUCUUUCCACACUGGGAGAGUGUGAGGAGAGGUGGUGAGAGCCAGCGUUCCAGGAGUCUGUCUCCCCAGCAAGGCCCCUGGGCACAAGUCUACGGUAGAGACCCGAUCCCACCCGCUAAAGAAAACUUUGGGAAUAGAGAAAAGAUUCCGGUAACUUAAAAUGGAUCUCCAAGUGUGAGAUUCACCCCGUUGUCCACCGAAUUGAUUUGACUUAUAAGUAAAUUCAGGAAAAACUUAAGCCAUGGAACGUUCAUUUGGGCCGCGUGAGUAGACAGUCUCACUGUGUAGCCCUGACCAGCCUGGAACUCAGUGUGUAGACCAGGCUAGCCCUGACCUCAAUGAGACCUGCCUACCUCUGCCUCAGCGCUGGGGUUAAAGGUGUGUGCCACCGUGCCUGGCUGCUGAGGAGACUUUUAUGUUUGAGACUUGAGGGAAAGUCAUUGUUUCACACACAUUUUUGUGAAAGUCAUGAAGGUGUUGGGAAUACCUUAUCGUUAUUUCUUUAAGGAGUAAAACUAGUGGGAAGUCAGAAAAGUUAGAAAAUAGGUAGAAGUUUUAUUCUACACUGUUUAUAAUAGUAAUAUAAACUACUGUAUCAGGAUAGUCCUGUAGAUAAAAUUUAAUUUUUUUUUCUUCCCAUUGUUAUUCCACAUCAUAAUGUCAACGUCCCUGCCAUGGAGUUUCUAUCUAAUAACUCUUUUCUCUGUUCAAUCUUCACACUGUGAUUUUUCAGAACUUUGGAUGAUAUUUUAGACACUAUUUGAAAUCUGAUCAUGUUAUUCUGCAAUACAAAUACAUGAUUAUAAUUAACAGUGCCACAUUUAGAGAUUACUUUGAUUGGUCUUUUUACUGGUAUUAAAAGCAAUAUCUUCUGUAGCGUCCUGCACAGGCUGACUUCUAAUUGUAUAGACUAUAGAAACGCAAUCUUGAUUAACUUUACUUACAUGGUGCCACACUGGUUUAUUUCCUCUCACAGCUUCCAGGACCUGUAUCCAAAGUGACCUUCCUCGGGAUAGGAGGUAUGACUGCAUGUGUAAUAGAGGAUGUUCCGAUUAUGUAAAUUAAAGUAUCAUCGGUCGCCAGGUGAUUUCAUCUUCCUACACAGAGCUGCGUGACUUGUGCCUCGUCAACCCAGCUCUGAGUUCAUCUCUAAGAAAUGAAGGUUUUUCUUGAGAGAAGUGACACAGGCCUUAGGAGAUUCUUCUGUGUUUGCUGAAUUCAAUUUUAAAGUAGUUAUUAAGUACUUAAUAAACAUUGCCAAGAUAUAUGGAUGGAGGGCAGGGUAGAAAAUGGGUUGGAAAGAUAAAAGAAGAGGCAGGCUAGAUCGAUAUAUGGAUGGAUACA
Molecule: long non-coding RNA, 3501 nt
Organism: Psammomys obesus (fat sand rat)
Lineage: Eukaryota; Metazoa; Chordata; Mammalia; Rodentia; Muridae
Exons: 3
Source: RefSeq, a predicted model, not a curated record